This 456-nucleotide ribosomal RNA is filed under the name uncultured bacterium. RNAcentral describes it as "bacterial SSU rRNA". It matches the Rfam family "Bacterial small subunit ribosomal RNA", at positions 340 to 786 of the family's 1533-position model. The record is from RNAcentral.
UACGGGAGGCAGCAGUGGGGAAUAUUGCACAAUGGGCGCAAGCCUGAUGCAGCCAUGCCGCGUGUAUGAAGAAGGCCUUCGGGUUGUAAAGUACUUUCAGUCGUGAGGAAGGUGUUAAGGUUAAUAACCUUAGCAAUUGACGUUAGCGACAGAAGAAGCACCGGCUAACUCCGUGCCAGCAGCCGCGGUAAUACGGAGGGUGCGAGCGUUAAUCGGAAUUACUGGGCGUAAAGGGCACGCAGGCGGUUAAUUAAGUUGGAUGUGAAAUCCCCGGGCUUAACCUGGGAAUGGCAUUCAAGACUGGUUAGCUAGAGUCUUGUAGAGGGGGUAGAAUUCCAUGUGUAGCGGUGAAAUGCGUAGAGAUGUGGAGGAAUACCGGUGGCGAAGGCGGCCCCUUGGACAAAGACUGACGCUCAUGUGCGAAAGCGUGGGGAGCGAAAACAGGGAUUAGAUACC